GAGUUUGAUCGUGGCUCAGAUUGAACGCUGGCGGCAUGCCUUACACAUGCAAGUCGAACGGCAGCACGGGAGCUUGCUCCUGGUGGCGAGUGGCGAACGGGUGAGUAAUGCAUCGGAACGUAUCCUGGAGUGGGGGAUAACGUAGCGAAAGUUACGCUAAUACCGCAUGUUCUGUGAGCAGGAAAGCGGGGGACCUUCGGGCCUCGCGCUCUUGGAGCGGCCGAUGUCGGAUUAGCUAGUUGGUGAGGUAAAGGCUCACCAAGGCGACGAUCCGUAGCAGGUCUGAGAGGAUGAUCUGCCACACUGGAACUGAGACACGGUCCAGACUCCUACGGGAGGCAGCAGUGGGAAUUUUGGACAAUGGGGGCAACCCUGAUCCAGCCAUGCCGCGUGAGUGAAGAAGGCCUCGGUUGUAAG
Molecule: ribosomal RNA, 417 nt
Filed under: bacterium enrichment culture clone ALO1_GLFRUDD03F30AG
Lineage: Bacteria
Description: bacterial SSU rRNA
Rfam family: Bacterial small subunit ribosomal RNA
Source: RNAcentral